AUGUCACCUGCCCGUGGGGACAGGACCGGGGCAGCUCUGGCUCUGUGGUCCAUGGUUGCCAUAGUGAUUCCUGCACUUUUCCCAGAUUUCAGGGCGGCUUUCCCCAGUUUCAGAGCAGUUUUCUCGGAUUUCAGGGCAGUUUUCCCGAUUUUCUGUGUGGUUUUCCCUGAUUUCUGGGCGUCCCUCUGGAUGCAGGUGAGCCCUGAGCCUGCUCCCCUCCUGGGUCAGCACACCUGGGAAUUUUCCUGGAUUUCAGAGCAGUUUUCCCAGAUUUCAGAGCAGUUUUCUCGGAUUUCAGGGCAGUUUUCCCGAUUUUCUGUGUGGUUUUCCCUGAUUUCUGGGCGUCCCUCUGGAUGCAGGUGAGCCCUGAGCCUGCUCCCCUCCUGGGUCAGCACACCUGGGGCAACAGGAUGGGCUGGGGGAAGGAUUCAGAGCCAGAUCAAGAAUUGAGGAUGGUGAAUUACUCAGAUUUGAACUCAUUUUGAUUAAAACCCCUGGGGCAGCAGGACAGGCUGGGGAGAGGGAUUCAGAACCAGCUCGAGAACUGGGGGUGUUGAAUUCCAUAGAUUUUAAAUCCCUGCGUUUAAAAUCCCUGGGGCAGCAGGACUGGCUGGGGGAGGGAUCCAAAGCCAGAUCAGGAACUGAGGAUGGUGAAUUACUCAGACUUGAAAUUGUUUUGAUUAAAACCCCUGGAGGCAGCAGGAUGGGCUGGGGGAGGAUUCAGAACCAGCUUGAGAACUGGGGAUGGUGAACUGCACAGG
Molecule: long non-coding RNA, 761 nt
Filed under: Ficedula albicollis (Collared flycatcher)
Lineage: Eukaryota; Metazoa; Chordata; Aves; Passeriformes; Muscicapidae
Description: lncRNA (ENSFALG00000027806.1)
Source: RNAcentral